Molecule: ribosomal RNA, 515 nt
Filed under: uncultured archaeon
Lineage: Archaea
Description: bacterial SSU rRNA
Rfam family: Archaeal small subunit ribosomal RNA
Source: RNAcentral
AACCUUUACAUUGCACGACAGUGCGAUAGGGGGACUCCGAGUGUGAGGGCAUAUAGCCCUCGCUUUUCUGUACCGUAAGGUGGUACAGGAACAAGGACUGGGCAAGACCGGUGCCAGCCGCCGCGGUAAUACCGGCAGUCCGAGUGAUGGCCGAUAUUAUUGGGCCUAAAGCGUCCGUAGCUUGCUGUGUAAGUCCAUUGGGAAAUCGACCAGCUCAACUGGUCGGCGUCCGGUGGAAACUACACAGCUUGGGGCCGAGAGACUCAACGGGUACGUCCGGGGUAGGAGUGAAAUCCUGUAAUCCUGGACGGACCACCAAUGGGGAAACCACGUUGAGAGACCGGACCCGACAGUGAGGGACGAAAGCCAGGGUCUCGAACCGGAUUAGAUACCCGGGUAGUCCUGGCUGUAAACAAUGCUCGCUAGGUAUGUCACGCGCCAUGAGCACGUGAUGUGCCGUAGUGAAGACGAUAAGCGAGCCGCCUGGGAAGUACGUCCGCAAGGAUGAAACUUAA